UUGUACUGCAGUUGAGAACAAAUAAUGCCAAAAUCAAAAAAAAAAAGCCAAACAGCAGCGGCGUAAUCAGCCGCAGAUCCGGCUAGAUGCGGGUUCUCCUGAAGACAACAGGAACGGGGAUAGAACAGUGGAGACCAACAACAAUGGAGGCAAUGGGAUGUUGUUGACUCAGCUGGAGCAGAACGAAAUUGACAAAAUGACGGCUACAUGGACAGAAAUAAUGAACCGGAAGAAUGGUGAAUUAAAUGAAAGUAAAAUGAAAGUGACCCAGCUUGAGCUGGAAAACAUGCAGCUGAAAACAAAUAAUUAGGCCAAAGAAGUCAAGCUGGUUGAGCUGAAGAACAACUAUUAUGCAAAAGUCAAGGAAUGUAUCAUGAUGGAACAAAAACUUGCCCAGACUGAGGCAAUAGUGCAACAUUAUGAGGGGAUUAUAAAGGCAUCGAUAGAAAAUCAUAGACAUUCACAAAUAUCGAUGGAGUGUGCCAUUCAAAAAACCCCCCGACGACUUUAAUCGCGAAGCUGCUAAUAAGGUGUUAAGAGUAGGG
Drosophila sulfurigaster albostrigata is the source of this 545-nucleotide long non-coding RNA. RefSeq lists it as uncharacterized. Lineage: Eukaryota; Metazoa; Arthropoda; Insecta; Diptera; Drosophilidae. The transcript is spliced from 4 exons. The record is from RefSeq and is a predicted model, not a curated record.